This 7773-nucleotide long non-coding RNA is filed under the name Homo sapiens (human). RNAcentral's name for it is "paternally expressed 13". The record is from RNAcentral. Lineage: Eukaryota; Metazoa; Chordata; Mammalia; Primates; Hominidae.
AGUCUGCGCCAGAGCCGCAGCGGUACAUGGAAGACCUGGGCGGGCAGGCGUCCUUACUACGCGGAUCAUGUUGCGGCUGAAGUCGCGAACCGAGACGUAGCUGGGUGUCCCGACCCUGCAUACAGCAGUAGAAGACCUGGGUGACCGUCAGUACCCUGUGAAUUGAGGCACUCCUGAAGCCAUGCGCUGAGACCUGGCUGGGUGUCGCUACCCUGCUGACGGCUGCGGAGGACCUUGGUGGGCAUCAGUACCCUGCGGAUUGUAGGGAUGCUGAAGCUGCGCACUGAGACCUAGCUGCGUAUCUCCCCUGCGGAAGGCUGCGGAGGACUUGGGUGGGCGUCAAUACCCUGAGGAUUGUGGCACUCUUUCCGCAGUUCCCUGCUCUAGGCUGCGGAGGACCCGGGUGGGCGUCAAUACCCUGAAGAUUGCGGCACUCCUUCCGCAGUCCCUUGCUCUUGGCUGCGGAGGACCCGGGUGGGCGUCAAUACCCUGAAGAUUGCGGCACUCGUUCCGCAGUCCCUUGCUCUAGGCUGCGGAGGACCCGGGUGGGCGUCAAUACUCUGCGGAUCGCGGGGAUGCUGAAGCUGCGCGCUGAGACCUAGCUGGGUAUCUCCCCUGCGGAAGGCUGCGGAGGACCUGGGUGAGCGUCAGUACCCUGAGGAUUGUGGCACUCCUGCAGCUGCGCAGAGACCUAGCUGGGUGUCCUCCCCUGGAGAAGGCUGCGGAGGACCAGCGUGGGCAUCAGUACCCUGCGCGUCACGGGGAUGCUGAAGCCGCGCACUGAGACCUAGCUGGGUGUUCCUACCCUGUGGAAGGCUGCAGAGACCCGGGCGGGUGUCAGUACCCUGUGGAUUGCGGCACUCCUGCAGCUGUGCAGAGACCUAGCUGGGUGUCUCCCUUGCAGAAGGCUGUGGGGGACCCGGGCGGGGGUCAGUACCCUGUAGACUGCGGCACUCCUGCAGCUGCGCACUGAGACCUAGCUGAGUGUCUUCCCUGCGGACGGCUGCGGAGGAUCUGGGCGAACGUCAUUACUUUGUGGAUCCCGGGAUACUGAAGCAGCUGAGACCUAGCUGUGCGUCGUCCCCUGUGGAAGGCUGUGGAGAACCCGGGUGGGCUUCAGUACCCUGAGGAUUGCGGCACUCCUGCAGCUGCUCGCUGAGACCUGUCUCCCCUGCGGAAGGCUGCGGAGAACUCUGGAGGGCGUCAGUAGCCUGCGGAUUGCGGCACUACUGCAGUUGCGCAGAGACCUCGCUGGGUGUCUCCCUUGCAGAACGCUGCGGAAGAUUCAGGAGAGCGUCAGUACCCUGCGGACUGCGGCACUCCUGCAGCUGCGCAGAGACCUAGCUGGGUGUCUCCCCUGCGGAAGGCUGCGCAGGAUCACGGAGGGCGUCAGUACCCUGCGGACUGCGGCACUCCUGCAGCUGCGCACUGAGACCUAGCUGAGUGUCUUACCCUGCGGUGGCGACGGAGAACCCCGGUGGGCGUGUUUACCCUGUGAAUGGCCUAGCGCUGCUAAAGCCCCGCACUGAGACGUAGCUGGGUGUCCUCCCCUGUGCACGGCUGUGGAGGAUCUGGGCGGACGUUGUUACUUUGUGGAUCGCGGGAAUGCUGUAGCUGCGCACUGAGACCUACCUGGGUGUCCUCCCCUGUGCACGGCUGCGGAGGAUCUGGGCGGGCGUCAUUACUUUGUGGAUCGCGGGAUUGCUGCAGCUGCGCACUUACAUCUAGCUGGUGUCUUCCCCUGCGGACAGCUGCGGAGGACCUGGGUGGGCGUCAUUACUUUGUGCAUAGCAGGAAUGCCGCAGCUGCGCACUGAGACCUAGCUGGUGUCGUCCUCUGCGGACGGCUGCAGAGGAUGAGAGGAGGGAGGAGGCGUCGUUACUUUGUGCAUCGCGGGGAUGCUGAAGCCAUGCACUGAGACCUAACUGGGUGUCCCCACCCAGUGGACGGCUGCGGAGAACCCGGGCGGGCGUCAUUAUACUGCGGGGGCGGGCGUCAUUAUACUGUGGAAGGUGGUGCUGCGGGAACUGUACAGAGACCUAGCCGGGUGUUCCUGCCCUGCGGAUGGCAGCGGAGAACCCUGGGGGGCGUUUUUAGCCUGCGGAUCGCCUGGUGCUGCUGAAGCCGCGCUUGAAGACCUAGCUGAGUGUCCUCCCCUGCGGAAGCCUGCGGAGGACCUGGGCGGACUCUUUACCCUGUGGAUUGCGCCGCUGCUGAAGCCGCGCACGGAGACCUAGCUGGGUGUCUUCCCCUGUGGUAGGCUGCGGAGGAUCUGGGUGGCUCUGGAGAUCGCAGGAAUGCUGAAGCCUCGCGCUGAGAUCUAGGCUGAGUGUUCUCCGCUGUGGAUGGCUGCGGAUGACCCGGGCGAGCUCUUUACCCCGCUGAUCUCAGCGCUGCUGAAUCCCCUGCACUGAGACCUAGCUGAGCGUUCCCUACCCUGCAGAUAGCUGUGGAGGACCCCGGCAGGCGUCCUUACCCUGCGGAUUGCCUGGUGCUGCUGAAGCCGGCACUGAGAGCUACCUGGGUGACACUACCCUGCGGUUGGCUGCGGAGGACCUGGUGAGCGUCUUUACUGUGCGGACUGCGGCAAGGGUGCGACUGCGUAUGUUGGUGGGCAUCCUUAUCCUUCAGACGGCGGCAAUUCUGCAGCUGCUCAUUGAGGACAUGAGCUGGCAUCUUUCCCGGUAGGACUGCGGCACGUCUGUAGCCACGCACUAAGGACCUGGGUAGGCGUCAUGACCCUGGGAGCAGCGGCACAGCUGCGACUGCGUAUGGAGGACCCAGGCAGGCUCCUCACUCUGCCGACUGCAGCGCGCCUGUGGUUGUGCACCAAGGACCCACCCAGACAGGCGUUCUUACCCUGUGGACAGCGGCACAGCUGGGGCUGUGCACCCCAAGAUCCAGCUGGGCAUUCUUAUCCUGCCGACUGUGGCACGUCUGUGGCCAGGAGUUUUUAUGGUGUGGACAGCAGCACAGCUGCGGCUGCACACUACGGACCCAGACGGGCGUUCUUGCCUUGUAGACUGUGGCAGGGCGGUGGCGGGGCACCCACGAUGCAGGCGAGUGUAUUACCCUGCGACUGGCAACACAGGCUGCGCAGCCAGGACUCAGGCGGGAGUCCUUACUCUGGGGGAGUCCUUACCCUACGGACUGUGGCACAACUGUGGCUGGCACAAGAACCCAGGUGGGCGUCCUUACCCUGCAGACAGUGGCAGGGCUGCGCAUGGCGGACUCGGGUGAGCCGUCUCAUCCUGUGGACCGUGUUACUGUUGCGGCUGUGCACUCAGGACCUGGUGGGGAUGGGGUGUGUGUGUUCCUCUUCUGCUGACUGUGACUCCGUGCCAGCUGCACGGAGGACCAGGGCAGGUGUCUUUGCUUUGUCAACGACAGCACUGCUGCAGCAGUGCACGAGAACCAGACCUGGAGCCGGGUAGAGGAGGUCCCUCCCCUUCUGACUGCAACACAGCUCCACCUGCAACCUGAGACCUGGGUGAGCAUCUUUGCCCUGCCCCGUGCCAUUGUUCUGGCUAUACACCAGCGACCUGGACAGGUUUUCACAUCUCUAUGCUGGAUGGGCUGGCCCAGCCGGUUGUGCACUGUGAGGUGCUGCAGGAGGAGCUGCGAGGACACAUUCUUCUUGACUUCUCAGCAUAGGAAUGUCUCACGUCCAGUCCACGUCCCUGUCCUAGUCCUCCUCUCUGCUCCUUCCACACUUCCUCACGGUGGUCUCCUGCACGCUCGUGGCUGUCAGUAUCAGACGAGGGCAGCUUCUGCAUUUUCUCAAUUCCAACCACUCCUCUCCACUUACCUACCCAGUAUCUCUACUGGGUGUCUUCCAGUCAUCCUGCACUCAACGCGACUGACAAUUUACUUCCAACCGGCUUUACAAUUUCCCUGACUUUGUUGAUGGCAACUUUUUCCUUCCAGUUGCUUAAGCCAGAUACGUUGGAGUCAUUCUUUACCAUUCUGUUCAACUUCAUACCUAUUCCUCAAGAAUUCUGGUUUCUCUAUCUCUAAAAUGUAUUUGGAAGCAGCUACUUCUUACCUUCUUUUCACGGAUUCAGGUCACCAUUCACACUCACUUGGAUUAUUGCAAUAAUUUCCUAACUGGGUUCCAUGUUUCCAGCUUUUCUGUCUGCAGUCUGUUUUGUUUUCAACAUGUGGCCAGAGGGAUCCUGUUAACAUCUAAGUGAAAUAUAUCAUUUCUCUGCAGUGGCUCCCUAGCUGCUCAGAGUAAAAUCUAAUGUUUUUACAAUGGCCUGAAAGGCUCUCCAUAACCUUAUCCCCUCCCACUUACCUCCCUGUCUCCUCUCCUCCCUCCGACACUCAGCCCCUGUGUAUUUUAGCUAUUGAAAGAAUAUGUGGGCACACUGCUAAUUUAUUGUCUUUGUGGAGGCUUGGUUUGUGCAUUCCUUAUUUCAAACACUUAUGGGUGGACUCUGGUAAUGAGCAGUCAUAUUUAUGAGUCCCCCUCCAAGUGAGGAGAUGUACUAGGUGGAAUGUGCGCCCUCCCUCACGUGGUAUACUCUUGAUACAGAGCCAAGCAGGUAGUACCGUUGGUCCUGCUUUGUAGGUGAGGGAAAGCAGACCCAAAAUGAAGGAAGUUGUCCAGGGUUACAUGCUGGGAAGUGGUGGAGGUAGAAUUCAAACCCGGAGCGCAGGCGUUGUCUGCACCUCGGAGAGGCACCGCUCUUCCUGAAAUGCUCCUCCCUGGUUAUCUAUGAGGCUGAAGUCCUCACCUCUUUCAGGUCUUUGCUGAAUUAGAACCUUCUCCAUAAGGCAAGGCUGAUGCUGAGCACCCCACUGAAAAUUUUCCUCUCUCCCAAGACCCUCUUCUCAGUCCCUCUACUUGGCUCAUUUCAGGUGUCUAGCACGUCACGCCCUUUAAUACAUUUUGCAAGUAUUUCUCCACGAGUGUGAGAAAGUGGUUUUCUUUGGUGGGGGUUGAUUUUUCAUGGCACAUAAAGGGCAGCAGGGUUUCUUUGGGUCCUGUCUGGAGGCCUGAAGGUCACGCUGGGCUUCUGGGGAGCGGGUCCCCUUCCUGCAGCCUCCCUCUCCACUUGCGUGUUUCUCACUCCUCUCUCUCCCUGGGAAGUGUUGCUUGAUAAAGAUGCAGCUUUUAAUUAAUGUAACUGUUCAAGAUUACAGCCGGUCAUCAGCUUUCUAACCAGUGCCUCACAGCUCUGCUGGAAGAGCCUUGCUCCGGUGAUGGUUGAUUUGCCAUUCUCUGUCCCAGCCCAGAGAAGCUCCCCUCACUGUCAACGUGCCAUCUGUCAGGUGCAUGUUAUAAAGCUGUCAUCAUGAUCAGCUCAUUCACGCACCAGCUUUAGCUUUGAGGAACUGCCGGCCAUGGCGUUGAAGACCUGCUGAAGCCUCCAGCCAGACAUCUGAUGUUCAGGUCUCAGGGGGUCCUUGCUGCUUGUGUAGCCUGACAGGUGUGGCCACGGCAGGCACACCAUGGUUUGGAGUUUGGAAAGAAGAGACCCUGUGUUAUUGUAGAGUGACCACUGGAUUGGGCUUCUGGAAAUCCAAUUCUAAUCAGACUUGGGUUAUGCAUUUACUAUUUCAAUAAAACAUUUAUGGAUGGACUCUGGUAAUCAACAGCCAUAUUUUUGAGUACCCACUGCAGGUGAGGAAAUAAAUGUACUAGGUGCGAUAUACAUCCUCAUGUGCUGUGCUCUUGAUACAAAGCCAGUCGGGUAGGACUAUUGGUCCUGUUUUGUAGAUGAGGGAACUUAGACCCAGAAAAUGAAGGAAGCUGCCCAGAGUUACAUGCUGGGAAAUGGUGGAGCUGGGAUUCGGACCCAGAGUGCAGGCUUGCCUCUGUUGCGGCAUAGAUGUCUUGCUUGCCAGGGCACCGUGCCCAGUGCUAGGUCAGAUAUGAAUGCUUACAGGACGAGGCCCUCUUCUUGAGGACUUCCCUCUCCUUCCCUCCCCUCUACUCUGCUGCCUCUCCGAGUAGCUGUCAGGUCACUGGUAGGUACCAGUUGUGUUGGGUUACAUGGUGGAUACACGAUGGAGUGCUGUGGCUAACAGGGUGGCCAAAGGCAAGACGUUUCCCCUUUCUGACCUUUCCUUUGGCAGCCUCUGGGUGGUGGUGGGCAGGAGGUGUGAGGGAGACAUUGAGUUUGAGGUAUGGAAUGACCGUGCGUGGCUCUCGGAGCCAGCCCGAUCUGCGCCUGCCUACGCUGCCACACCCACAGGCUGUCUACAUGUUACUGGAAACCCAAGCAUGAGUUUCUUCUGCAAAAUGGAAGAUGACCACCCUUUUGUACUCCUGGGAUGAGGCAUACUGUGGGUGCACCUCCCUGCAGGCAGCUGUUUCUCAGUGAGCGGUGCCUGUUGCUAUUUGGAAGUGACCACCAUGUCUCCUCCAGCCAAAGAAUUUGGCAAUUCUAAGUUCAGAGUGGUGGGUGUUGGUGAGAGAGUCAGUCCACAGGGUGAGGUGCGAUGAGUGGGCAGAAUGUGCCUGGUAGUCAGAGUGGAGAUGGUCUAGGUGUGCUCUCAUGACCUCCUCAGCUCUUCAAGGGAAGGGAAGCCACCUGGGGAGGGUCAGUAUGGAACCCUUCCUGGACUGGCUGGUAUGUCCUGGAGGGAACUUCGUUAGACUUCAUAAUCGAUGCAGUGUGGACUCCAUGGGGAGUUUUGGAAAGAAAGCAACAGUCAUGAGGAUGACUAAGGGUGAAAGAAAUUAGGUGUGUGGCCAUGGUUGGGAUUCUAAGUCUAGCCCUGCCAGUCAUUGUCAGGUGACCUCAAGCAGGCACCUUUGUCUCUGGAGGGCUCAGCUUUCAUCUCUGCCCAAUGAGGGGUCAGGUUUGGCCUCUAAAUUCUAUCCAGCUUUAAACACUUUAGUUUACUGUCUGAAGUCUUUUUUUUUUUUUUUUUUAAGACGAAGUCGUGCUCUCUCGCCCAGGCUGGAGUGCAGUGGCACGAUCUUGGCUCACUGCACCCUCCGCCUCUUGAGUUCAAGCAAUUCUACUGCCUCAGCCUCCUGAGUAGCUGGGAUUACAGGCACACGCCAUCAUGCCUGGCUAAUUUUUUAUAUUUUUGGUAGAGAUGGGGUUCACCAUGUUGGCCAGGCUGGUCUUGAACUCUUGACUUCAAGUGAUCUGCCUGCCUUGGCCUCCCAGAAUGGUGGGAUUACAGGUGUGAGCCACCGCAACUGGCCUGAAGCCUUGUUUCUAAUAGUUGUUGGACUUUAAGAGCUUGUUCUUCAGGUCACCAUCUGCUGGGAAUCAUCCACUAUUCCCAAGACUAGGCAAGGAACACCAGUAGAACUCCAGCCUCACAGGGACCCCGUAGCAACUUCCUGCACAGGAUGCACCUCCAGGGAAUGCAGAGAACAUGAAUCUCUGUCAAGAAGUAUUGGUAGCUACUAGAACAAAAGCCACAGGGAAAGGUCCUUAUCCCAGAUUUUGGAGGUCUUCCAAUGGCAAGGAUUUUUGAGUGUUUGGGGAUGGUUUAUGUGUAGGCUGACAAGAGGAAGAUGAGCAGGGGGACAUUCUGGAAAGCUUUUUUUUUUUUUCAUUCAGAUACUUGCAUUAGGCCAUGUGCUAAGUACUUUAUAUAUGCUGCCUAAUUUGAUUUCAUAAUAAUCUUGAAGUAAAUGGAUUAUCCCCCUUUAACAAAUUAGGAAAAUAAAGCCUAGAGGGUGUAAGCCCUCAUAACUCCUAAGUGACUGAGCCUAGAAUCAAGUUCUUUCUGAAUCUGAGUUCCAUUCUCUUAACCCUUAUGCUGUAUGUUUAAAACAAAUACAAAAAUAUGGAAAAUACA